AUAGAAGAGACAUGUCCCAGUGAAUAAAACAUAGCCAUUUAUGAGAAUGCAUAUAUCAAUCAUUCACAAACUUCCCGCCCACACGUUUGGCAAACUUCUGCAUCGAUGGGAAAUGAUACAUGUAAUUAAUGCACACCGUUCCUUACGUUUACCACCGUUGCAUUUCUUAGUAGAUCCACUUAGUAUACCGUCGUCCCGGUUGACAGUGAAAAAUGUCAUUUCGAUGACAGCUCGUGUGACGGACAAGCAUGAAAAGCGACAAGUGUGCAUAUAUUUACCGUACUACAUGAUGGGGUGCAAAAAAAAGGAUAAAAAUACAACAAUUAUUUAUGUCCUCAUCGUAUAUUAGUAAAUGCACCGUACCAAAUCAAUAAUAACAUGUAAAAUUUGUUUAUUUCCUUUGAUGAAACGAAUUCCAUUUCAUUCACAUAGCGGACAUUUUCAUUCGAAUAAACUUUAAGAAAUAAUCCCAAAACGAUACGCACGAAAAAUAAAUCACUAUGUGUGAAAAAUAAUCAACAAUAUUGCAUGUAACAGGAUAAUAGGCAGGAAUGCAAUUUCGGCUUACCCCGCUUCUUCCCGAUCUGUGCAUCAUGCACUGUAGCGCAGCAACAACACCAAGAAAAAAUGUUAUCAAUCGACAGAACAGAAAAUAAAACAUAAAGUAAAUUGCAUAUCCACUAUCAUCACCAUUAGAGUUUGCUCAUGCUCGAGUGCAUGAUUUUCCAACCAUCUCGAUUCACCGACUCCGUGUUAGUUCUAUUUGAAUGAAUGGUCCUCUCCCCGGCUAUGGACAGAUUCAUUCGGGUUUAGUUCUUUUCUUUUUUCCUCCCUCCCUCUCUCUCUCUCUCUCUCUCUCUCUCUCUCUCUCCCUAUCUAUCGGUUGUAAUCCUUUUAUAUUUAUCCACAUAUUUGUCAACGAAUAAAACCAAAUAUCGAACAAAACGUUAUUUUUCGGUAAGCAACGGAGAAAGGAUUGCGCUAGAAUGGAUUUGUUUUCUGUCUCUUCUUUAUUUUCUUUGCACCAUUCAGAUGCAUUUUUGCAUCCGGUGCACUAGUGCAGAAUGCAACGUUUACCCAUCGAUUUUAGGCUCCAAAAAAAAAGGAGUAAAAGAAAGUAAAUAAAAGGAAAGCGACUAAAGCAAAACUCUACCGAACCACAUUCAUGGGAAAAUUGAAUAAAUUUGAUUACUUUCAAUUGCGUUUCGUGUACGUGACACCACCGUGGAAGUGAUGGGUACUAACGGAAGCAGUUUUACAAUUUAGAGCUAUUUAGAGUUGUACCUUUUUGGCAUAACAAAAGGGAUACGUAGGUUAGAAAUGAGGAAAUAUGAAUUAAAUUAUUUUGUUGUGUACUAAUGUACGCAUACCACAAUGAAGCGUACUGCAUGUAAUCAUUUCAAAACUUUAUUCACUUUACAGUGAAUCAGUCAAAACCAAACAGGAUAUUGAAGAUUUGACAAAUAAAGGUAAAGAUAACGAUAUGCAUGGAAAAAGCCAAAAUGCAGAGCAGCAAAACAAAACAACAACAAAAAACACAAGGUAACAUCAAUCGAAAAAGUACGAUCUGCUGUGACAGGUGAACCAAUAAUAAUGUAGAAAAAUGCAAAAUGAAAUAAAAACUCAUCACUUGAAGAGACAAACCGGUCAUACAGAUGAGGCGAAUCAGCGCAGCAAAUGAAAAACCGACAGUAGGAAAACGAUGGAGAGAAAAAAAACAGACACACAAAAUAGAACCAAACGAAAGAGCGCAAAAAAAGAAGAAGUUUACCAGAGUAGGCAUGUGGCAUGCUGUAGCAUCAAUUAUUCAAAUUUAUUUUAUUUCGUUUUAUGAGCGAAAAUUUUAUUUUAUUAUUUGAAUUUCAAAUGGAUAUGUAUAUAACAAUUCGCGAAUCCACAUACACACACCGGUCCAAAUCACUGAAUGUGACAAACUGCUGACCGAAUCCAGGCGAAAUCCAAGUACGAACAAACUGGGAAAGAAUGGGCGGGCGAACCAUCGCGUUUGGGAAAAGCAAAAAUGCGUUUGCAAAUGAAAAUUCAAAUUACGAAAUGGCGGUAAAUCGUAUGUGUGGGAAAAAUGGGCACAAAACCAACAGAAAAAAAGAAUCCUAGCGAUCUCCAUGUUUCGAACCACCACAAUCGAACGCCAAAGUGAAGGAAAGCCGGGGGAAAGCGUAUCAUCAUCAGUAGCGAAGAGGAAUCAAGUUUACCUGAUAAGUGGUGGCAAAAACAACAAAAAAAACCUGGAUGAGGAUGUGGUACGGUACACACAUGAAAUAUUCAAUCAUUCGUGCAUUCUAGCGAAUCCAAAUAAAAUAUGCCACAGUUAGUGAGCUAUUAAAAUAGAA
Anopheles funestus (African malaria mosquito) is the source of this 2351-nucleotide long non-coding RNA. RefSeq lists it as uncharacterized. The transcript is spliced from 2 exons. The record is from RefSeq and is a predicted model, not a curated record. Lineage: Eukaryota; Metazoa; Arthropoda; Insecta; Diptera; Culicidae.